UACGUAGGGUGCGAGCGUUGUCCGGAAUUAUUGGGCGUAAAGAGCUCGUAGGCGGUUUGUCGCGUCUGCUGUGAAAACUCGGGGCUUAACCCCGGACUUGCAGUGGGUACGGGCAGACUAGAGUGUGGUAGGGGAGACUGGAAUUCCUGGUGUAGCGGUGAAAUGCGCAGAUAUCAGGAGGAACACCGAUGGCGAAGGCAGGUCUCUGGGCCACUACUGACGCUGAGAAGCGAAAGCAUGGGGAGCGAACAGG
Molecule: ribosomal RNA, 253 nt
Filed under: uncultured bacterium
Lineage: Bacteria
Description: partial 16S ribosomal RNA
Rfam family: Bacterial small subunit ribosomal RNA
Source: RNAcentral